RNAcentral lists this ribosomal RNA (497 nucleotides) under uncultured bacterium. RNAcentral's name for it is "partial 16S ribosomal RNA". It matches the Rfam family "Bacterial small subunit ribosomal RNA", at positions 28 to 507 of the family's 1533-position model. The record is from RNAcentral.
GAUGAACGCUGGCGGCGUGCCUAAUACAUGCAAGUCGAGCGAACGGACGAGAAGCUUGCUUCUCUGAUGUUAGCGGCGGACGGGUGAGUAACACGUGGAUAACCUACCUAUAAGACUGGGAUAACUUCGGGAAACCGGAGCUAAUACCGGAUGAUAUUUUGAACCGCAUGGUUCAAAAGUGAAAGACGGUCUUGCUGUCACUUAUAGAUGGAUCCGCGCUGCAUUAGCUAGUUGGUAAGGUAACGGCUUACCAAGGCAACGAUGCAUAGCCGACCUGAGAGGGUGAUCGGCCACACUGGAACUGAGACACGGUCCAGACUCCUACGGGAGGCAGCAGUAGGGAAUCUUCCGCAAUGGGCGAAAGCCUGACGGAGCAACGCCGCGUGAGUGAUGAAGGUCUUCGGAUCGUAAAACUCUGUUAUUAGGGAAGAACAUAUGUGUAAGUAACUGUGCACGUCUUGACGGUACCUAAUCAGAAAGCCACGGCUAACUACGUG